Molecule: long non-coding RNA, 1261 nt
Organism: Heterocephalus glaber (naked mole-rat)
Lineage: Eukaryota; Metazoa; Chordata; Mammalia; Rodentia; Bathyergidae
Source: Ensembl
AAAAAAAAAAAAAAAAAAAAGGAAUGUUAGCACUCCCAGUGAGCUAACAUUAUGGAGUUAUUCGUAUUUUCUUUCUUUCUUGAGUAGCAGGUAUCGAACGAAGGACGUUGUGCUUGCGGAGCAGACGGCGAAACCACUGAGCUAAAUCUUCGGCGGGCAAACUGUUCACCAGUAACAAUUUAGUCCUUGCUGGUUUCCAGGGGCGGAGGGAAGCCUCCGCUUCCCGCCUCUCGGCAGUCUCCACCUCCGCCCCAACGCGCCUUCCGCUGCCCCACUAGGUGGCGCCACUGCCGAGCCACACCCGCCCCCAGCCUGCACCUCUCUGAAGAUCCCGAGAAGCGGGAGCUCCCACCCUGGGCCACCUCGUCAGUCCGAGCCAAGGGCGGCACCAGUGAUGAAACUGCUCUGUGUGCUCAGCGCCUCGCUGUGAAACUUUAACCAGUACUCUGGAUGGCCCUCCAAUUUCAAUUAAUACGGACGUGUUUGGCAGGGUCGUGGAUUCUAGCUGAUCUCUGUGAGGACAGGAGGGCCUUCCCUGAGGCGCUCUGAAAGCACGUCUUUGGGCCACAGAAAAGAGCGCUGUCCUAGUGUCAGCAGGUCUGCAGGGGACAGAAGACGCCCCCGGGCACCGGCGCGCUCCCCGCCUGGCUCUGGAACCCUGGUCCAGAGCGGGACGAGUGCCCCACGUUGUCAGGUCUUUCUUCUGACUUUUCAGCCAAAGCUAGGAAUCAUGCCCGCGUCCUUCCAAGGCCAAAUGUUUAUGUAAAAUGUGCAAAAGAAAGAUAUGUCUGUAAUUGUUUAAGACUGCUAUGUGGUUCUACUUUGAUUUCCUCUCUAUUGUGAGGGGCCUUACAGGUAGGCCUGCAAGAUGGGUAACCCAAGCAAGAAUCGCUUGGCACCUCUGCCUUCGCUGUACGUGGCCCCCUUGUCACCUUCACACUGGAUCAGAUCCUUGCUCAGCCCCUCAGUAGGCACGUUGGCCACUGACGGACGAAGUUCAGCAGCCCUAAAUCCCCCCAGUCUAUCUUAUCCCACUUCGAGAUUGAGGAUGCCAAGUUGCCUGGGAUUCCGGGAAAAGCAGAGCCAGAAGACCGGAGGAUGAGAUCACACCCACCCCGAAGCAGGGAUAAUUACCCGGUGAUGGGAAUCGAGGUUGCCCAACAGACCCCCGGCGGUCAUCGCCCUCGUUUCUUUUCUACCCUCUAUAGAAUUGAUUUAUUUCGUUUUUAUUAGUACAUGUUUGCAGAAUAUAAUGAUUACA